Small nuclear RNA from Neogale vison (American mink), 141 nucleotides. RefSeq annotates it as U4 spliceosomal RNA. NCBI's taxonomy places the organism in Eukaryota, Metazoa, Chordata, Mammalia, Carnivora, Mustelidae. The transcript has a single exon. The record is from RefSeq and is a predicted model, not a curated record.
AGCUUUGCGCAGUGGCAGUAUCGUAGCCAAUGAGGUUUAUCCGAGGCGCGAUUAUUGCUAAUUGGUUUCAGUUUGCUGGCUUUCUAAGGGGAAGUACUCAGUUUUAUAUUGCUUUGGAUCUCUUGGAGUUAAGUCCCAUUG